RNAcentral lists this long non-coding RNA (4584 nucleotides) under Gossypium barbadense (sea-island cotton). RNAcentral's name for it is "long non-coding RNA (GBAR_LNC016576)". The record is from RNAcentral. Lineage: Eukaryota; Viridiplantae; Streptophyta; Magnoliopsida; Malvales; Malvaceae.
GUGGCAACCCUCACCGCUAAAAUCACCGUCCACCUCUGUGUAAACCAUCAAGAAAUAUCUAUUCUCUUCGUCUCCUCUAAUUCCUCCUUGAAACCUAUCCACCACGAACCCUCCACUGGGUAAUCUCAAAUAGUCAACCCAACUGAAGUCUCAUCUAAAUUUGAAUACACACGACCAAUUUAGCUACUUCAUCACUGUCAAUGGCGGUAGGUAAUUUGUGGUAAAAAACGAGGCACAUGUUUCAUAAAUGAAGCCAUGGGAGUACGCAAAUGAAAUGGAACAGAUGAUCACAAAGGCAUGUUAUGAACUUUGCCCCCUACUCAAAUUGCUCCUUGUAGUCCGCGUAACACGGUUUGUUAUCAACAUGGGUUUUGCUUAUUUCCAUUAUCGGUAAUGCUUCCGCCGCCACUUUAGAUGUAGAAAGUUGCUCGUUUCGGCUAGCGUUCUAGAUUUCUAUUUAUAUACAUGCCACAACCCUACACUCAAAAUGAUCAAAUAACUAUCGGUUUAGUGAUAGUGUGAGCUUUGAGAUGAUCUGACUUGAUGAGUUCCCCAAGGUAAAAAUCUAUAAGGAAAAGAGAAGACAAUCUAAGUAAGCAUAUAAGAUGCUCAGUAAGUUCAUAGGUAUUAGACAAAACUUGCAUUAUCUUUUAUCUAAAUACAAUAAGCUAUCAUAAGUUGGUUGUAACACUCUAUAUCCGAACUGAUCGCUGGAUCCGAGUACCAAAUGUCACAAAUUGCCCAAGUUACUUAACAAUCUUUCUAACUUGAUUUAUUAACAAUUUAAACAACUUCAAAAUUAAUCCAUAUUUACCACAUAAUUUUACUCUAAUCUCUUUAAUUAUCAACAGGUUUCAAAAUAUAACUACAAAUAAACUUCUUACAAUUUCUAAGGUUUUUACAAUCAUUUCUGUAGGGGUAGAAUAAAAAGAAACUGAACACGUUUAACUCCUUGAUCAUCUUAAGAUCAUCCCUCUUAACCUAAGGUGGCAGUCUUCUACUCUUUUUUUUUUGAAGUUAUCUAUUGGCGUAUAAACUGCUAAGACAUCUUCCCCUUAUUGAUCCUACGACUAUUUGACCAGUUUUGCUAAUUUUACAGAGGUUUCGUCAUAGUUACGGACCCUGACCUUUCCCCACAUGUAUUCUUUCUUCCAUCCAGCCUCUAUUCCAGAUAUUAGUCUGUUCAAGGUUUUUAUGUUAAACACUUAAUUGCAAGGUUUAAUGGUCAUUUACCAGUAUGGUUCCUCUUUCCCAUCAUGUACUUAAGUGGUUGCUCUAAUAGACUUCCGUCUUGAGAAACCCUUGGAUACGCUCUCCUUUGGUGAACAAUCCAAUACUGACUAGUUUCAGAUUAACUAUUUCUUCUCACUAUAGUCCUGAAGGACUUGUUGACUUCUUAUCUGUCGGGUUAGCUAAUGCGGUCCCAUCCAUCACUAGCGGAUGAAGUACCACUUGAUCGAUAUAGUGUCCAGAUUACUUCCUCGUGACCCGCCUUAUUUGCGUUACCUUGCGUUUAGGUGUAACAUGUUCGUCUGAAGUGAGUCACUCUAGCUUAUAGUAUCUUGCAGGUUGUCAUCAGAGUGAUCAUUGCAGUUUACCAUUUCUCUUAUGUAAUGGUUCCCUACGGAACUAACCCUUUGGCUGACGCUUUUUCAAUAGUUUCCCCUUAAAGAAUAACACUCUUAACAAAAAAACCUGUCACUCGGUUAGUCCUUUUUAGUACCUCUAUCUGUCAAUCGGUUCUAACUAACACCUCUUUUCCAUUUAAUCAAUCCAGAGUAUAGGCGAUUAACCCUCCCCGCACAAGCCAUGAUUUAACAAACCUUAUAUCGAGAGUGUAUCCCCCAUUAACCUUCUAAGGUUUUCCUUUAACAUGCCGAGCUUUUUUUAACACUACUUGGUGGUUCUUAGUGGUGGAUCAUUACCGCGAACUACAGAUAAUUACCUUUUCAUUACCCAUAGACAAGGCAUUAACGACACCUCAUUCCCCUAAUAGAUCUUAGCUGGGUUAUCACCAUAUGCCCUAUUGGCUUCCAUGAUCAUUGUCUUGGCGAACUGUUUCCCUUUUUCUACAACACUUGCAUUAUUCUUCUGCCUUGUUUGGAAAAUUCCUCAGAAUCCACUUACCAACACUUGCAUUAUUCUUCUAACUCAUUUUUCCAUAUGUGUGAUUUUUCAUAAUUACCGUCAUGGCGGUCUACCUCGUGUUUAAUGUCCUAGCAGACUACCCCACGUUUAAUGUUUUGGCGGACUCUGUUGGUUGCCAUAGUCGAUUUUACAGCCUUUCACCCCAUGUGAUUUGAGAGAACACAACACCUUACUUGUAAUUAUCUCUGCCAAUUUAGGGGCAGAAAGAGAAGCUCCACUCCUUCAUGUGUUGAAAGCACAUAAAAAGGCGAUUGGGUGGAUGAUUGAUGAUAUUAAGGAAAUAAGCUUAUCCUUUUGCCAACAUAAAAUAUUCUUAGAAGAGGGAAAAAAAGCUUAUUUUAGAUGCACAGUGGCGCCUCAACCCGACAAUGAAAAAAGUCGUGAAGAAGGAGCUCACGAAGUGGUUGGAAGUUGGUAUUGUCUACGCUUUUUCUGGUAAUGAUUGGGUAAGUCCCAUACAUUGUGUUCUAAAAAAAAAAAAGAGGGAUAACUGUGGGAAACGAAAAAGAUGAGCUCAUACCGACUAAAACUGUGACUGGGUGGUACGUAUGCAUUGAUUAUUAGAAGCUUAAUGAUGCUACAAGAAAAGGAUCAUUUCCCUUUGUCAUUCAUUGAUUAGAUGUUAGAUAGACUAGCGAUGAGAGUUUUAUUGUUUCUUAGAUGAGUAUUUUGGAUAUCAUCAAAUUCCCAAUUCACUCGGAUGAUCAAGAAAAAACCAUAUUCACCCGCCCAUUCGAUACUUAUGCCUUCCGAAGGAUGCCUUUUGGGUUAUGUAAUGCUCCCGCCAAUUCAUGAGGUGUAUGACCUCUAUUUUUGCUGAUAUGAUCAAGGAAGGGUUGGACAUAUUUGUGGAUAACUUUUCAGUAUAUGGAGACUCAUUCAUUGAAUGUUUGGGAACCCUUGAGAAGGUGCUUGAACGAUGUGAGGAAACAAAUUUAGUUUUGAAUUGGAAAAAGUGUCAUUUCAUGGUUAUGGAGGGCAUUGUCCUAGGACAUCGGUUCUCCAAAAGAGGAUUAGAGGUUGACCAGGCAAAAAUUGAAGUUAUUGAAAAACUUCCACCCCGGUCCUCGCUGCGUGGAAUCCGUAAUUUUUUGGGGCAUGCUGAAUUUUAUCGGUGUUCAAUCAAAAACUUUUCACACAUCUCUAAAUGGUUGAGCCGUCUUUUACAGAAAGAAAAGAAAUAAAAACAAUUUAACGGUACAGACUUUCAACCAAAACACUCCGUUUUCAUUAAGGCUCGUUGCACACCGUUUCAUUAAUUUCAACUAAAAUGCAUCAUUUGCCCUUUUCCUCUUAAGCUUCUAUAUUUCAAUUUUGACCUGUAUAAUAAACAAAAAUUGAAUAUCAAAGAAAAUAAAAAAGGAGAGUCAAUAUUAAAGAACUGCAUUAUUUUUUUCUUGAAAAGAUCAUGAAACAUUAUUAAUGGAGAUGAUCAAGUGCGGAGUGAUGACUUUGUAGUAUAUAAUGGAUUCAUUUCCGUGAUGCUUGUAAGUGCAUGUUCCAUCAAAAACCUUUCUUCCUUCAUUUUUUUGUUUAUUCAUUAUUGCUAAUUGUAUGUCGAGAAACUUUCAUACAUAAAUGGCAAUUUUAACUUUGAACUUCUUGGCUUUUUGUGUUUUUGGGUGGUGUUUACAGGUGUUGAGUGCUCCAUAUCUCCAAACCACACCAACAAAAAAUAUGCAGGUACAAACAACAUGAUGAUCCAACUAGAAUCUUCCCAGGAAGAUAAAAAGUGUUUCAAAUAACAUGCUUCUUGAAAACAAUGGAGAUAAAAACACCAUUUUAGGAAUAAAAUGAACUGCCUUCUUAUUUCAAACCCUCUAAGUUGUUUAGACUAUUCAUUUUUCUUCAAGUACAAUCCUACUCCCAUGUCCAACAGACAUUCCAGACCUAUACUUGUAUCCAACAUUUAGACCCCAGUCAUCUCUAUUUAUAGAACUGAUUCGGUUUGAUUUGUGUGUUCAAAAGUUACGGGUGGAUUUGGAUGGGAUUAGUUUUUAUUUUCCAGGAUGCAUUACAACCUGAGAAACCGAGGUUUAUGUCUUGUUCCAAUCUCUUGUACUGUUGGACUUGCUCGAAGCAAUGGUGCCGAUAUCUGGGCUCCCAUCAAGACCACAUCCCCGAAAUUUGGCUAAGCUAUCUAGCAAUUCUUUUGAGAUUUCAUUUCUCUGCAACUGGAAGGCUUUGAGAUUUCACUAAAUCAGUUUAGAAGAUAACCAACUUAUUAUCCAAUGCACAGUUUUAUGGGUUGUAGCAAAAUUUAUUUAGAUGAUACACUAAGAUAAGAUGGUGGUAGGCAAAAUUAUUAGUUUUAGAUGGGUAGAAUUGUGAAUCUAAAUUGCAGUCUUGCAUCUCUAUAGUUUUAUGCAGGCGUCAAACUUUCCACCAACGGACUUGAAGCAUAAUCUGCAAAAACAAAGGCAAAGAGAAAGGGGA